GAUGAACGCUGGCGGCGUGCCUAAUACAUGCAAGUCGAGCGAACGGACGAGAAGCUUGCUUCUCUGAUGUUAGCGGCGGACGGGUGAGUAACACGUGGAUAACCUACCUAUAAGACUGGGAUAACUUCGGGAAACCGGAGCUAAUACCGGAUAAUAUUUUGAACCGCAUGGUUCAAAAGUGAAAGACGGUCUUGCUGUCACUUAUAGAUGGAUCCGCACUGCAUUAGCUAGUUGGUAAGGUAACGGCUUACCAAGGCAACGAUGCAUAGCCGACCUGAGAGGGUGAUCGGCCACCCUGGAACUGAGACACGGUCCAGACUCCUGCGGGAGGCAGCAGUAGGGAAUCUUACGCAAUGGGCGAAAGCCUGACGGAGCACCGCCGCGUGAGUGAUGAAGGUCUUAGGAUCGUAAAACUCUGUUAUUCGGGAAGAACAUAUGUGUAAGUAACUGUGAACAUCUUGACGGUACCUAAUCAGAAAGCCCCGGCUAACUACGUG
This 497-nucleotide ribosomal RNA is filed under the name uncultured bacterium. RNAcentral describes it as "partial 16S ribosomal RNA". It matches the Rfam family "Bacterial small subunit ribosomal RNA", at positions 28 to 507 of the family's 1533-position model. The record is from RNAcentral.